GACGAACGCUGGCGGCGUGCCUAAUACAUGCAAGUAGAACGCACAGUUUAUACCGUAGCUUGCUACACCAUAAACUGUGAGUUGCGAACGGGUGAGUAACGCGUAGGUAACCUUCCUGGUAGCGGGGGAUAACUAUUGGAAACGAUAGCUAAUACCGCAUAAUAUUGAUUAUUGCAUGAUAAUUGAUUGAAAGAUGCUAUUGCAUCACUACCAGAUGGACCUGCGUUGUAUUAGCUAGUAGGUGAGGUAACGGCUCACCUAGGCGACGAUACAUAGCCGACCUGAGAGGGUGAUAGGCCACACUGGGACUGAGACACGGCCCAGACUCCUACGGGAGGCAGCAGUAGGGAAUCUUCGGCAAUGGACGAAAGUCUGACCGAGCAACGCCGCGUGAGUGAAGAAGGUUUUCGGAUCGUAAAGCUCUGUUGUAAGAGAAGAACGGGUGUGAGAGUGGAAAGUUCACACUGUGACGGUAUCUUACCAGAAAGGGACGGCUAACUACGUG
RNAcentral lists this ribosomal RNA (505 nucleotides) under uncultured bacterium. RNAcentral's name for it is "partial 16S ribosomal RNA". It matches the Rfam family "Bacterial small subunit ribosomal RNA", at positions 28 to 507 of the family's 1533-position model. The record is from RNAcentral.